CAAGGAAGAUACUCGUUAUAGAGCCCAGAGUCUUAUAUGGCAAAAUUAACUGUCAUUUUUGUAUAAAGACAUUUUAAGAAGGUUGAAUUUAAGUGCUCAUAGGAUAACAUUUCCUUCUAAGUAAAUUACCAACUAUAGCAACUUAUUUUAGCGUUUUUAGUAAGUUUGCAAGUAUCAGAUGAACAAUAGUCUAAAAUAGCAUUUGAGGGCUGGGGUUGUGGCUCAGUGGUAGCGCACUUGCCUGGCAUGCAUGAGGCAAUGGGUUCGAUUCUCAGCACCAUCUACAAAUAAAUAAAAUAAAGAUCCAUCAAUAACUUUAAAUAAAUAAAUAAAAUAGCAUUUGAAAGGAAUUGAGGGCAACUGGCGAGAUUAUAAAGAAAAAGGAGUUUAUGGACUUGGUCAGGUCAUAUAAAAUAUUAAUUAUUAACUGGAAAAAUCAAUUAUCCAAGCAGUGUCAUUUUCAUCUAGUCUCUGAGGCAUUAUCUAGUUCAUUAAUUGGACUGAACUAGUACAGUGAAUAUCUGUCCUUUUCUCUUAUGCUACCUGAUGUUUUAUAAACAUAAGUUACUACCAGGAAGUUGGGAAUUUUUAAAAUUCGGAUAAUAACGCUAGUUUUUAAAACGUUUUUGGUGGAUAGCUUGUAAAUUUAAAUUUUUCAUGUAGUCUUGAAACAAACAAUGGCUUGUUACAUACUAUAAAUGUACCUAAAAGAAUUUCACCUGUAUAUAUGUACACAUAAAUAUAACAUAUAUCAGUACAUAACAAUCAAAAAUAAUUAAAGGAGUGAAAGAAAGACUGAGAGAAGAAAAGAGAGCAGGAGAAGGAAAGAAAAAGGGAGGGGGAAUGGGGACUUAAAUCAAAUUCCUUGUAUGUAUUAUUUUGUCAAAAAGAACCCAAAUACUAUAAUGCUCUAAAAAUAUUUCAUAUGGUCUAGAAAUGAUUUUUUUUUGUUCAGAUCAAGAAAACUGUUAAUAGAAUCAAUUUUUCAAAAAGCAUGCUUCGUCCCUAUUUUUUUGGAAGGUGGGGAUGGAGGGGGUGGAUCAGGAAUCAUACCGUCUACCACUGAGCUACAUUACCAGUCCUUUUCAAUUUUUAGACAGGGUCUGUAAAUUACUAAGAUUGGUCUUGAAAUUGUAAUUCUCCUGCUUCACUCAGCCUCCUGAGUGACUGGAAUUAUAGGUGUGUGCCACAACCAGGUCCAGCUUCCUACCUCUUAUUGUCCUGAACUCUAAUUUUGUUACCCAAAGUAUAUUUGUAAGUUAUCUAUACAAAUUGGGAGUUAAUAGGCAUGUUUGCUUUCCAUUAUUAAUGUUUGAAUUUUUAAAAAUAAAAAUUUUCUCUAUUUUCAACUUUAUGAUUUUUCCCACUGGCUGCAUUAACUCUUUGGAAAAUAUUAACAUAUUUUCUGAAUAACUUUUAAAUUACAAAGGACAGUAGUUGAAUGAAAUUUUAGAUUUGGUUACAUUUAUAACCAAAAGUUGAUUCUCUAAAAUUCUUUGUGUGAAUGUUUUUAAUUUUUGUUUGUUUGUUUUUGUUUUAACCACUGAUUAAUCUUUUAUAACAGAAUUGUAAU
Molecule: long non-coding RNA, 1573 nt
Filed under: Marmota monax (woodchuck)
Lineage: Eukaryota; Metazoa; Chordata; Mammalia; Rodentia; Sciuridae
Rfam family: tRNA (bases 212-283)
Source: RNAcentral